CACCAAGUCACUAAGAUGUCCAGGUUGGGCUCAAACUUGAGAUCCUCCUGCCUCAGCCUCUCAAAAUGCUGAGAUUAUAAGCAUGUGCCAACACACCUCCAGGAGCUACUUUUGUUCCUUCAAUUUUCUUAGAGAUUGAACUUGGGUCCUUGUGCUUACAAGACAGGCAGCGGAACCAUUGAGUAGUGGAAGAGAGUAUGAAGUUAGCAUGGAAAACUCCAGAUGUCACUGGGAGCAUGACGUUCUUGGAAGACAAAAAUCAACAAUUAUUAAUUUAAGUCCCAAGGCCCACAAAAGUCAAGGGCCCAGUGAGGGGCACGCCUCAGGUCCUGGAGCGGGACACGCGGAUGGUGGUGGCAACAGCGGC
This 367-nucleotide long non-coding RNA is filed under the name Heterocephalus glaber (naked mole-rat). RNAcentral describes it as "lncRNA (ENSHGLG00000036297.1)". The record is from RNAcentral. Lineage: Eukaryota; Metazoa; Chordata; Mammalia; Rodentia; Bathyergidae.